Crotalus tigris (Tiger rattlesnake) is the source of this 1591-nucleotide long non-coding RNA. RefSeq lists it as uncharacterized. NCBI's taxonomy places the organism in Eukaryota, Metazoa, Chordata, Lepidosauria, Squamata, Viperidae. The transcript has 3 exons. The record is from RefSeq and is a predicted model, not a curated record.
AGACUGGAGCCAGCUCUUUGGGGAAGGGAAGGUUUAUUGCUCAGGUUCAGAGAGCUAAACAAAGCAAAGGGUCUGAACCCCAAAAGCGGUUCUGUAAAACAUAUUUAUACCCUUUAAUACGUAUAUAUUUCCUGAUCACAUAGUAUUCCUUACAUGGCUAUUUUCUAUACAUCCUUGUCUCAACAUAUGGAAGAAUACCAGACAGUUUUGACCAAACACGUGCUUAUGUAAAAACAGGAUAUGGUCCAGACAGAGCAAGGCUAAAUUGGUCAGCAGCUGCAAGACAGGAAACCUUCUGAAGACCCAGCAGUUUUAGAGCAACAGCAUUUUUCCACUUUAAUUCUGCCUACUGCCAGAGUUCAGCAGAUUAAUUCUCACCAGCUCAAGGUUGAUUCAGCUUUCCAUCCAUCCGAGUGUCUCUUGCUUUCAAGAAUACAGAAAUUUGCAGCCAUGAACAUUUUAUAUUGUUUCACUGCUGUAAUUUUUUUCUUCUUCCAUGCUGCUCAGGAAGACCACUUUAUAGAAGCCAUUCUGCUUACUUGUGCAUCAAUGGGUGGAUUCUGCAUUCUACAACCCAAUGAGACCUGUCCUUCAGGUAUCCUCCUGGAUGUGCCUUGUCAUUUCAGAAGAAGGUGUUGUUCAAAGACUGAUGCUUGACUCCCAUCUUUACAUGCUUAUUGGAUAAUCAGCUUUCAUCGCUUCCGCUAGUUAGCUGUACUUGAUUUAUCAUGGUAUUUCCUACUUGAGAUAGGUAACUAAGUUUGAUAAUCAAGCCCCUCCACAAUUUGGACACUUAUUCAAAAUUUAUUUUGUGUAUAUGCUAUGUCCCACUUUGCUAUCAUUAUUGACAACUCCAUAUAUUUUGCCAAGGCCACAUUUAUAUCUCUAGGUCCCUCACUACUUAUUUAAAGAUCCAUAAUUCAUUUGGAUGGAAUCCUAAUGUGCAAUGACAAUAAAGAGAAAGAAUAGGAUUGCCUCAGUGAAAAAUUGAAAGCACACAACUGUUUUCCAAAUUAAGGAAAUUAAAUUGUCGGUGCUGAAUUCUGAGGAAAAUAUAGGUUGAAAAUCCUCUUAAAAUGAGAAAAAGAAAAAAGGACAUCUCUCUUGGAAUCAGGAAAGAGCAAGUCCCCAUUGGAAAAAAAUCUGUCCAUCGUUUCCUGAUAAUAUUUUAUUAUUUCAAUUUACUGAUUUAUUGACCCAUGGAAGGAAUUUCAUUUGCCUUGUCAACUAGAUUUAAAUUAGUACCUCAUGUUCAACUAAAUGGGUUUGUAGAAAAAUGUUGAUUUUUUUCCCCAGAAGAUGGUAAUCUAUAGAUUUCACUGAAGUUGAGAGAGAAAAUAAUUCAGUUUUAGUCUUGAAAGUACAAAUAUGACAUACCACCAUCAUCUUUGCUUUAUUAAAACAUUGGGAAUAUUUAACAGUCAGAAUUUUAAUUUGACCUAGUAGGUAUAUUUUAUGAGAAAUUUUAGAAAUGCAUAAACCAGAUAGUGUUUAUAGCAUGUUAAUGUAGUUUUACAUAUUUAUAUGGAAUUAUUUAAUUAUUUUCCUGCUAAUAUUAAAAUAAAAAUUGUCAUGGGCAGCUGAAAUCUUA